AGAAAAUUAAUUAACUAUUUAAUAGAAGGACUAAAUACUUAAUUAACCAAUUUGUAAAACACAACAGUUAAUCAAGAAACUAAUUAAUAAGCAACUAUCUUAUUAACUCAUAAUGAUAAGAAAAAUAGAAGCAACUUAAGAUGGGUGCAUAAUUAAUUGGUAGUGUGAUAAUAUAAUUCACAUGUCAGUAUGUAUAUAUGGUAAACUUUAGAAUAGAAAAUCUAUAUACCUGCCUAAAUAACUCAUAUGUCCGUAUAUAAAAACCUUAGAAUAGAAAAUCAAUAUAUAUACUUACAUAACAUUAAGAACGAAUAUAUAUAUAUAUAUAUAUAUAAACUCAAAAAACAGUGAGUAAAUAUAUAUAAAAACAACUUUCUAUAAGCUCAAAAAUUGAAAACUUAAACCUAUAUAUAACUAAUUGAACAUAAAUCUUAAUGACAACAUCAUAUAAAACCAAAACAACAUUUUUAAUGUUAAAAAUGAAAAGGCAAAGAGAGGGAGAAGGAAAGAACCGUCAGAGUCGGAAAGCAGAUGAACGACGAUGUAGUUAACUAAGGCUUAACGACGACGAGGAUGAAUGCAACCGCGUCAAAACUUAGUGAUGUCUCGCCGGAGCUAGGUUCAGCGAUGGUCAUCAUGCAUUCCUUGGCUGAACCGUUUUCGGAAGUGCACAUUUUUAUUGUGGUGUGCAACAGUAUUGUUCGCGUGAGGAGUGGUGUUUUUAUGGAAAUGUUUCUUUUGUUGUUAAGAGUGAAAAUGAUGAAAUAUUAUGUUGGAAUUAAUCGGAGGUUAUGGUUGUCAUGAGUAGAGUUGAGUGAAAGAGAGAUAAGAGGUUUUUGUGCUAAGUGAUGAACGGAUGAUGUUUUGGAGAAUAUAAUCUUAGUCUUUCAUGAGGAGGAAGAAGGUGUUUUUUACUGCGCUUUUCUACAUCAAGUCUCAU
This 940-nucleotide long non-coding RNA is filed under the name Lathyrus oleraceus (garden pea). Its description in RNAcentral is "Pisum sativum (pea) long non-coding RNA (PSAT_LNC031662)". The record is from RNAcentral. Lineage: Eukaryota; Viridiplantae; Streptophyta; Magnoliopsida; Fabales; Fabaceae.